RNAcentral lists this microRNA precursor (69 nucleotides) under Drosophila busckii. RNAcentral describes it as "mir-2 microRNA precursor family". It matches the Rfam family "mir-2 microRNA precursor family". Rfam says of the family: The miRNAs are transcribed as ~70nt precursors (modelled here) and subsequently processed by the Dicer enzyme to give a ~22nt product. In this case the mature sequence comes from the 3' arm of the precursor. The record is from Rfam by way of RNAcentral. Lineage: Eukaryota; Metazoa; Arthropoda; Insecta; Diptera; Drosophilidae.
UCAUUCUUCAAAGUGGUUGUGAAAUGUUUGACCUUUUAUGCAUAUCACAGCCAGCUUUGAGGAGCGACG